GCUUGCUCGAGUUUCAAAUGUGGCCUGAUUCAAAUAUUCCCUUUUUCUUCUUCAAAAACGCAUAAAGUGCUGAUAAAUGGUUUGAAGAGAGAGGCACUAAAAGAAUGAAACUCCAGAGAAGAGACCAAACGGGGCAAGUGUGGUAUCAGGCGUCGACAGGGAAUGCAAACAAGUGGCCAUCUCACGCUUCACCAUCUGCGCUCUGAAGACAGCUUUGCAGCGGCCACACGCAUUCUUCAAACGCUCUUUGGAGGCCGGUUUGGAAAGAUAUCUUGGAUAGCCUGCCUCAGGAUGUUCCUCACUGCUGUUUUUCGGAUGAUAAUACCUUCGGUACGGUGGCCGCCAGCAUCCUGCUGCCCUCUGGACCACACGGCUCUCUCUACAGCUGGAGGUGGUACCCGCAAACAUGCCUCUCUCUGA
RNAcentral lists this long non-coding RNA (420 nucleotides) under Sinocyclocheilus anshuiensis. RNAcentral describes it as "lncRNA (ENSSANG00000034701.1)". The record is from RNAcentral. Lineage: Eukaryota; Metazoa; Chordata; Actinopteri; Cypriniformes; Cyprinidae.